This 253-nucleotide ribosomal RNA is filed under the name uncultured bacterium. Its description in RNAcentral is "partial 16S ribosomal RNA". It matches the Rfam family "Bacterial small subunit ribosomal RNA", at positions 524 to 776 of the family's 1533-position model. The record is from RNAcentral.
UACGGAGGGCGCUAGCGUUGAUCGGAAUUACUGGGCGUAAAGCGCACGUAGGCGCCUUGCAAAGUCAGGGGUGAAAUCCCGGGGCUUAACUCCGGAAUUGCCUUUGAAACUAGUAAGCUAGAGACCGGUAGGGGGUGGUGGAAUUCCUAGUGUAGCGGUGAAAUGCGUAGAUAUUAGGAGGAACACCAGAGGCGAAGGCGGCCACCUGGACCGGAACUGACGCUAAAGUGCGAAAGCGUGGGGAGCAAACAGG